UGGGGAAUUUUGGACAAUGGGGGAAACCCUGAUCCAGCCAUCCCGCGUGUGCGAUGAAGGCCUUCGGGUUGUAAAGCACUUUUGGCAGGAAAGAAACGUCAUGGGUUAAUACCCCGUGAAACUGACGGUACCUGCAGAAUAAGCACCGGCUAACUACGUGCCAGCAGCCGCGGUAAUACGUAGGGUGCAAGCGUUAAUCGGAAUUACUGGGCGUAAAGCGUGCGCAGGCGGUUCGGAAAGAAAGAUGUGAAAUCCCAGAGCUCAACUUUAGAACUGCAUUUUUAACUACCGGGCUAGAGUGUGUCAGAGGGAGGUGGAAUUCCGCGUGUAGCAGUGAAAUGCGUAGAUAUGCGGAGGAACACCGAUGGCGAAGGCAGCCUCCUGGGAUAACACUGACGCUCAUGCACGAAAGCGUGGGGAGCAAACAGG
This 429-nucleotide ribosomal RNA is filed under the name Acidobacteriota bacterium. RNAcentral describes it as "Acidobacteria bacterium partial 16S ribosomal RNA". It matches the Rfam family "Bacterial small subunit ribosomal RNA", at positions 355 to 776 of the family's 1533-position model. Lineage: Bacteria; Pseudomonadati; Acidobacteriota. The record is from RNAcentral.